This 253-nucleotide ribosomal RNA is filed under the name uncultured bacterium. Its description in RNAcentral is "partial 16S ribosomal RNA". It matches the Rfam family "Bacterial small subunit ribosomal RNA", at positions 524 to 776 of the family's 1533-position model. The record is from RNAcentral.
UACAGAGGGGGCAAGCGUUGUUCGGAAUUACUGGGCGUAAAGGGCGCGUAGGCGGCCUGCUAAGUCGAACGUGAAAUCCCUGGGCUCAACCCAGGAACUGCGUCCGAUACUGGUUGGCUUGAAUCCGGGAGAGGGAUGUAGAAUUCCAGGUGUAGCGGUGAAAUGCGUAGAUAUCUGGAGGAACACCGGUGGCGAAGGCGGCAUCCUGGACCGGUAUUGACGCUGAGGCGCGAAAGCCAGGGGAGCAAACGGG